This 3373-nucleotide long non-coding RNA is filed under the name Sus scrofa (pig). Its description in RNAcentral is "lncRNA (ENSSSCG00050071973.1)". Lineage: Eukaryota; Metazoa; Chordata; Mammalia; Artiodactyla; Suidae. The record is from RNAcentral.
UGGGGAAGCAGAUGUAGGUCAAUCCAGGGUACCGUGGCUGGAUGGGUGUUUUGGGGCUUGGGCUGCUUUGAGUGAGCACAAUGCUACCCUCCUUCCUCUCACCUCCCUGCACUGCCCAACAUCUGACACCUGCAACACACACCCUUUCCCAGAAGGCCAAAUACCAUGGCAGUUAAAAGCCUGGGCUUUGGAGUCAGGAAACCUGGUGUCAAGUCCAUUAUUUACCACGUGUCAUCACUAAUUAACUCAACAAAGGGCAGCUCUGGCUUUUCACUUCUUAAUCUGUCAAGUGGGGCCAAUAAGGGAUUAUUCCUCCUAAAAGGCUGAUUAUUACACGAGCUAAUAGAUUACAGAGUUCUUAGCACAAUGCCUGGCACAUAGUGAGUCCUAAUGAAAGCUAGCUAGUUUUAUCAACCUGGGUCAAUAGUGCUCUGAGCUCUAGAAAGGCCUUGAGGAGUCUGGCUGUGUCUUUGUUUACUCCCACCUUCACCAAAGCCAUUUCAUUUUUAUCUAUUCUAUAUUUGUUUCCUGUGAAGAUUUUACUUUAGUGGAGUUAUGCUUUUAAAAAACUCUUCAGGAGUUCCUGUCGUGGUGCAGUGGAAAUGACUCCAACUAGGAUCCAUGAGGUUGUGGGUUCAAUCCCUGGCCUCGCUCAGUGAAUUAAGGAUCGGGCGUUGCCAUGAGCUGUGGUGUAGGUCGAAGGCGUGGCUCAGAUCUGGCAUUGCUGUGGCUAUGGCUGGCAGCUAUACCUCUGAUUAGACCCCUAGCUGGGAACCUCCAUAUGCUGCAGGCGCAGCCCUAAAAGGCAAAAAAGAAAAAAUUAUUUUUGAGAAUUUGCAAUUUUACUUUACAAACCACCUUUCUACUCCUUUGUACUAGAGAGAGUUGGGAGCCAAUGGGCUUUCACUCAGAACCCUGUUGGCUUAUCUAAUGCACACCCAAACCAGAUGCACCCAGUGAACUGUGAUGAAUACCCCAGCUAACCACAAUCAUGCUCCCCACAGCAUCCAACUGCACAGCCCUCCCUUGUUCCUCAGUCAACCAAGGCCCCCCCUGGGGUUAAAACCUGUUGUGCAGGGCAACCUCUCCCCCACUUAGACUCAUGCCUAGAUAUCCAAGAGAUCACAGCAGACAUUGUCACUGAAAUUUUUUCUUUCCUUUUGUUGGCUGUGCCUGUGGCAUGCAGAAGUUCCCGGGCCAGGGAUCAAACUUGCACCACAGCUGUAGCCAGAGCCACCGCAGUGACAACACCGGCUGCUUCACCCUCUGAGCCGUGUGGGAACUCCUCACUGAACGUUUCUUUAAACUGAAUCUGGAAGCGUUAAGACAAACGACUCAGUAAUUCCCACUUCUAGCUUGCUUAGGUCAGGACGGUAUAUAGGGGAGAGAUGAAAUCAUGCAAUUAGAUCCCGAGAGCCUACAGAAUAAAACAUCACUGCUCAAAGUCACUCAGCUGGAAAAAAUACUAAACUCAGGAAAUUUUAUGCCCUCGGAUACAUUGCUUAUCCAAAGCUGUAUCUAAAAUCACUUAGAAAUCAAACAUUUCUAUUGAAUUGGAUUCAUGGGCGUGCAACCCAUGGAGUUCACACAGGGUCCAGACUUAAAAAUGCCCCGCGCUUGGUUUACUGCUCUGCUGUCUUCGUUUUGAAAUUCCAAAUAAUGUAAUCUUUGAAUUUAUAUUUUGUAAGUGAAGUCUGAUGGGAAAACGUAGCCUGUGCAAGAACAGAGGAGAUUAAGUGUUCUCCAUUAUUCACUGCCGAAUGUGCGUGUGAUUUUCUAGAUUUGCCCAGGAACGCUGAAUUCUGGUGGAGAUCCAAAAUGCCUGCGUUCAGUAAGACACAAAACAAGUGCAAGGUAAGCGUGUUAUGUCCAAAACUAAGUGGGGCCCUGAUAGCCCUGAGACCCUGUGCUUUCCAUUCACACCAGAACUUGCUUUGAGUGUAGAAAGCAAGCAGUGGCAUCCUAAAACACACAAAUGACUGAAAAAUGCUAUCACGCCCUUUCUUACUUGUGUUAAUUUCCUGUAUUAGCCAACUACUUACACUGAAAAUGACAGGGAAGGAAAGGGAAAGAUAGUGACCUAUAGUUCUUUUCCUUUCAGUUCUUUCUUACUCAUCAGUAAGCUGAAGAUAGUGCUUGUAGGAUGUGUGCAUAUCAAGAAGCAAAAUAAAGACAGUUGAGGUAUUUUUGUGCAGUGUUUCCACUGCUCUGAUAAGGACGAAAUAUCUGUGUGUGUAUAAGCUAUAAUAUAUGAACUGUGCAAUUUUGGCAAUUCUGCAUGAGUUAAAUGCUCUUAUACUUGCAUUUUAAAAAGGCAUUGCACAAUACAGAGAUGAACGUUAAAAUUCAUGUUAAAUUUAAAAUUUUAAUUUUUAUUUAUUUAGAAUGACAUUAAACAUAAAAUUAAAAAAAACCAUUGCAAAUUUAGAAAAGAACCUCAGAAGAAAGCAAAACUUUACAUUUUAGCACCUUUUUUCCAAACAGUUUAAGAUAUAGUUUAUAAAAAUGAAAUCUUGCCAUUUGUGACAACAUGGAUGGAUCUGGAGGGUUUUACGCUAAGUGAAAUAAGACAGAAAGAGACAAAUACUGUACGAUUUCGGAAGUUCCCCUGUGGUGCCGCAGGUUAAGGAUCCAGUGUUGCCACAGCUGUGGUGUACAUCCUUGGCCCAGGAAAUUCCAAGUACCACAGAUGCGGCCACCCCCCCCCAACAAAUACUGCAUUAUUUCACUUAUAUGUGGAAUCUAAAAAACAAAAUGAAGAGGUAAAAACCUCCAGUUGUAAGAUAAAUACGCACAGGGAUGUAACAUACAGCAUAAGGAAUGUGGUCAGUGAUAUGGUGAUAGAUUUGUUUGGGACUAGACGGUUGCCAGACACAUCAGGAGACCAUUUUUAUACCGUACCUCAAAUCACUAUGUAGUGCACCUAAAACCAACAUAAUAUUGUAUGUCAGCUAUGUUCCCUCAGAAAAGAUGAGUUCCUGUGUGGCUCAGUGGGUUAAGUGUCUGGCGUUGUCACCACAGUGGCUCAGGUUUAGUUCCUGGCCUGGGAACUUCCGCAUUUUGUGGGUGCAGCCACAGAAGUAAACAAAUAAAUAUUUUAAAAACGAAAAAGUUGACGAGUUCCCAUUGUGGCUCAGCAGUAAUGAACCCAACUAGUAUCCAUGAGGACUUGGGUUUGAUCCCUGGCCUCGCUCAGUGAGUUAAGUAUACGGCGUUGCUGUGAGCUGUGGUGUAGGUCGCAGACGUGGCUCAGACUCCACAUUGCUGUGGCUCUGAUGUAGGCCGGCAGCAGAAGUUUUGAUUUGACUCUUACCCGGGGAACUUCCAUAUGGCCCUAAAAAGAAAAAAAAAAAAAAAAAAAAAAAAAAGAAAG